This 427-nucleotide ribosomal RNA is filed under the name uncultured bacterium. Its description in RNAcentral is "partial 16S ribosomal RNA". It matches the Rfam family "Bacterial small subunit ribosomal RNA", at positions 355 to 774 of the family's 1533-position model. The record is from RNAcentral.
UGGGGAAUAUUGCACAAUGGGCGCAAGCCUGAUGCAGCCAUGCCGCGUGUGUGAAGAAGGCCUUCGGGUUGUAAAGCACUUUCAGCGAGGAGGAAGGGUAGUGUGUUAAUAGCACAUUGCAUUGACGUUACUCGCAGAAGAAGCACCGGCUAACUCCGUGCCAGCAGCCGCGGUAAUACGGAGGGUGCAAGCGUUAAUCGGAAUUACUGGGCGUAAAGCGCACGCAGGCGGUUUGUUAAGUCAGAUGUGAAAUCCCCGCGCUUAACGUGGGAACUGCAUUUGAAACUGGUAAGCUAGAGUCUUGUAGAGGGGGGUAGAAUUCCAGGUGUAGCGGUGAAAUGCGUAGAGAUCUGGAGGAAUACCGGUGGCGAAGGCGGCCCCCUGGACAAAGACUGACGCUCAGGUGCGAAAGCGUGGGGAGCAAACA